Molecule: long non-coding RNA, 819 nt
Organism: Gymnodraco acuticeps
Lineage: Eukaryota; Metazoa; Chordata; Actinopteri; Perciformes; Bathydraconidae
Exons: 7
Source: RefSeq, a predicted model, not a curated record
UUUCAGGCUUUGCAUUUGAACUCCUAUGACUGGUUGCGGACUUGAAGGGAACGCCUUCCUGACAUCCAGGAAAAAGUUUUAUUGGACAGGCAGUAGAGAUCUACUGGAAACAGUGGAGAGGGAGGAGAUGAUAUGCAGCAUACGGCCCAGCCGGAUGGUUGCUGCUCCGUGUGGAACGUGUCCUAUCAGGUGUAACAUCUACCAAUGGUUGUACAUGACAGAGACCUCCUCCGCCUCUUUGCUGUCUUACUAGUCAAUCCUUCUGAUCAGGUCCUUUCCUAAAUAGUGAAAGGAUCAUGCCAGCCCACAUCAAACACCUGAUCAAGAGCUUGUGAACCUCACUGCUGCAGACACCUGUGUGAUAUUCCACUCUGACUGGAACCCUCAAAAUGACCUGCAGGCUCAAGCUCGGUUCGUCAUCGUUUUGGCCAGUCUAAGGCGGUGGAGGUGUACCGUCUGAUCACUAGAAACUAUGAGAGGGAAAUGCUGGAUAAAGCUAGUCUGAAGCUCGGGCUGGACCGUCCCGUCCUGCAGAGCAUGAGAGGCAACAACAACGGGCCGGUCCAGCAGUUCUCCAAGAAGGAGAUCGAGGACCUGCUGAGGAAAGGAGCCUACGCCGCCAUCAUGGACGAGAACGACGAAGGCAAUCGCUUCUGCUAGGAGGACAUCGACCAGAUCCUGCAGCGAAGAGCCACCAUCAUCACCAUCACCAGUUUGCUUCAAGCAGUGGCUGCACGAGAAAGACGUGGAGGACCAAGAAAUGCUGGCCAGAUUGGCAAAGACCGGAAGAUACAUAACAGAGAAGAUAAUGGAUAUUAA